Molecule: ribosomal RNA, 797 nt
Filed under: uncultured Proteiniphilum sp.
Lineage: Bacteria; Pseudomonadati; Bacteroidota; Bacteroidia; Bacteroidales; Dysgonomonadaceae
Description: bacterial SSU rRNA
Rfam family: Bacterial small subunit ribosomal RNA
Source: RNAcentral
AGAGUUUGAUUAUGGCUCAGGAUGAACGCUAGCGAUAGGCCUAACACAUGCAAGUCGAGGGGCAGCACAUGAAGUAGCAAUACGGAUGGUGGCGACCGGCGCACGGGUGAGUAACGCGUAUGCAACCUGCCUACAACAGGGGAAUAACCCGUUGAAAGACGGACUAAUACCCCAUAACACAGGGAUCCCGCAUGGAAAUAUUUGUUAAAGAUUUAUCGGUUGUAGAUGGGCAUGCGUUCCAUUAGCUGGUUGGUGAGGUAACGGCUCACCAAGGCAACGAUGGAUAGGGGAACUGAGAGGUUUAUCCCCCACACUGGUACUGAGACACGGACCAGACUCCUACGGGAGGCAGCAGUGAGGAAUAUUGGUCAAUGGACGCAAGUCUGAAUCAGCCACGUCGCGUGAAGGAAGACGGCCCUACGGGUUGUAACUUCUUUUGUAAGGGAAUAAAGUGUAGUACGUGUACUAUUUUGCAUGUACCUUACGAAUAAGGAUCGGCUAACUCCGUGCCAGCAGCCGCGGUAAUACGGAGGAUCCGAGCGUUAUCCGGAUUUAUUGGGUUUAAAGGGUGCGCAGGCGGGAGAUUAAGUCGGCGGUGAAAUUUUGCAGCUCAACUGUAAAAGUGCCUUCGAAACUGGUUUCCUUGAGUGUGGAUGAAGUAGGCGGAAUUUGUGGUGUAGCGGUGAAAUGCAUAGAUAUCACGAGGAACUCCGAUUGCGCAGGCAGCUUACUAAACCAUAACUGACGCUCAGGCACGAAGGCGUGGGGAUCAAACAGGAUUAGAUACCCUGGUAGUC